RNAcentral lists this ribosomal RNA (627 nucleotides) under Streptomyces sp. ANA1901. RNAcentral's name for it is "bacterial SSU rRNA". It matches the Rfam family "Bacterial small subunit ribosomal RNA", at positions 61 to 704 of the family's 1533-position model. Lineage: Bacteria; Bacillati; Actinomycetota; Actinomycetes; Kitasatosporales; Streptomycetaceae. The record is from RNAcentral.
GUCGAACGGUGAAGCCCUUCGGGGUGGAUCAGUGGCGAACGGGUGAGUAACUACGUGGGCAAUCUGCCCUGCACUCUGGGACAAGCCCUGGAAACGGGGUCUAAUACCGGAUACGACCUUCCUCCGCAUGGGGGUUGGUGGAAAGCUCCGGCGGUGCAGGAUGAGCCCGCGGCCUAUCAGCUUGUUGGUGGGGUAAUGGCCUACCAAGGCGACGACGGGUAGCCGGCCUGAGAGGGCGACCGGCCACACUGGGACUGAGACACGGCCCAGACUCCUACGGGAGGCAGCAGUGGGGAAUAUUGCACAAUGGGCGAAAGCCUGAUGCAGCGACGCCGCGUGAGGGAUGACGGCCUUCGGGUUGUAAACCUCUUUCAGCAGGGAAGAAGCGCAAGUGACGGUACCUGCAGAAGAAGCACCGGCUAACUACGUGCCAGCAGCCGCGGUAAUACGUAGGGUGCGAGCGUUGUCCGGAAUUAUUGGGCGUAAAGAGCUCGUAGGCGGCCUGUCGCGUCGGAUGUGAAAGCCCGGGGCUUAACCCCGGGUCUGCAUUCGAUACGGGCAGGCUAGAGUGUGGUAGGGGAGAUCGGAAUUCCUGGUGUAGCGGUGAAAUGCGCAGAUAUCACGAGG